This 430-nucleotide ribosomal RNA is filed under the name Pseudomonadota bacterium. RNAcentral's name for it is "Proteobacteria bacterium partial 16S ribosomal RNA". It matches the Rfam family "Bacterial small subunit ribosomal RNA", at positions 355 to 776 of the family's 1533-position model. The record is from RNAcentral. Lineage: Bacteria; Pseudomonadati; Pseudomonadota.
UGGGGAAUAUUGGACAAUGGGGGGAACCCUGAUCCAGCCAUGCCGCGUGUGUGAAGAAGGCCUUAUGGUUGUAAAGCACUUUAAGCGAGGAGGAGGGUACUGGUAUUAAUACUACCAGGUACUGGACGUUACUCGCAGAAUAAGCACCGGCUAACUCUGUGCCUGCAGCCGCGGUAAUACAGAGGGUGCGAGCGUUAAUCGGAUUUACUGGGCGUAAAGCGUGCGUAGGCGGCUAAUUGAGUCGGAUGUGAAAUCCCCGAGCUUAACUUGGGAAUUGCAUUCGAUACUGGUUAGCUAGAGUGUGGGAGAGGAUGGUAGAAUUCCAGGUGUAGCGGUGAAAUGCGUAGAGAUCUGGAGGAAUACCGAUGGCGAAGGCAGCCAUCUGGCCUAACACUGACGCUGAGGUACGAAAGCAUGGGGAGCAAACAGG